Molecule: ribosomal RNA, 300 nt
Filed under: uncultured Gammaproteobacteria bacterium
Lineage: Bacteria; Pseudomonadati; Pseudomonadota; Gammaproteobacteria
Description: bacterial SSU rRNA
Rfam family: Bacterial small subunit ribosomal RNA
Source: RNAcentral
CACGUAGGAAUCUGCCCAACAGAGGGGGACAACCCGGAGAAAUCCGGGCUAAUACCGCAUACGCCCUAUUGGGGAAAGCGGGGGAUCUUCGGACCUCGCGCUGUUGGAGGAGCCUGCGUCGGAUUAGCUUGUUGGUGAGGUAAUGGCUCACCAAGGCUACGAUCCGUAGCUGGUCUGAGAGGAUGAUCAGCCACACUGGGACUGAGACACGGCCCAGACUCCUACGGGAGGCAGCAGUGGGGAAUAUUGCACAAUGGGCGAAAGCCUGAUGCAGCCAUACCGCGUGUGUGAAGAAGGCCU